RNAcentral lists this long non-coding RNA (5153 nucleotides) under Sus scrofa (pig). RNAcentral describes it as "lncRNA (ENSSSCG00050031645.1)". Lineage: Eukaryota; Metazoa; Chordata; Mammalia; Artiodactyla; Suidae. The record is from RNAcentral.
UUUGGUCUUGCGUUUUUAUUUUUCCGUUUGCAGGUACAACAAGCAGGGAAGGGCCGAGGGGAGGCAGAGCCCACCCGACGCUCUGUCCUCUGAGGCUGGGCUGGGGCCGAGGAGAGCCUGGUCUGCGCCACCUGCAGCCCCGAGCCACCUUGCAGUGGGCAGCUGGGGUCCAGGUCGGGGUGGCCCCCUCUGCAGGGGUCGGGGGGAACCUCAGCUCCCCCUGCCUCGGCCUCGUCUCCCUGGGUGCCCUGUACGCCUCUGUUCUCUGGCUCAGCAGACGACACUGGGGUUGGGCUGAGCAAGCCGCCCGGAGCCUCGGGGCUGCCAGCCGCAGGCAGGAGAGCUUAUGCAUGGGCUGCAGAGCCGGCGGAGCCCUGGGCCUGGGCCUCUGAUGGGGCCUCUGGACUCCUGUUCUGCGGGGGGCUGGGGAAUGGUAAUUGACAGGCAGCCUAGACGGGGCCUGCAGGGCACGGCAGCUGCAAACAGGCCGGCUGCGAGGAGCCCCCGGGGCUGGAAGAGGAUGUUCGUGGGAGAAGCAGCAGGUUCAGGAUGUGGCUGGAGAGCAGGCAGGGGCUGCGUGAGGGCGCUGGGGGAGGUUUGGGGUGGACUCUGGAAGGUUCCAGCCGGGAGGGGCCAUCCCAUCUAGCGCCGUCGUGAACAUGUGUUAAUUCCUCUUGUUUCCAUCACGUGGAAGGGAGGAGGGAGGCGGGGGGGGCCCACCUGUAGGAGCCACAGAAGCAGAUCGCCGCCCCCUGCAAGGGCUGCUCCCCCAGCGCAGCAAAGGCACCCCCCGCCCCCCACUCUGGCCCCUUUGCUCUCAGUCGUGCAGAGAGGUGGCACGACUGUCUCCUAGGAGUCCGGAAAGCAGGCCUCUGCGAGGCCAAAGGGACAAGAGUUCGGGAAUCGCCUGCCGCGGAGGUGGGCUCCUUUACCCGACGCGCCCCCUCGAGCCCCGGCCCGUGGGGAGGGCCCUGCCCUCAGGGGUCGCUCUGCCCAGGAUGUGCCCAAGCGGAACCAGCCCGUGUUCUCUGUCCAGUUAAGUGAUUCUGUCCGUUUGCUUGAUGGAUAUUUGACCAGAGGAGCUCGGAGCUAAAGGAAGCCGCGGCUCUGCAGGGAGGUGAAUUAUUCAUGAGGAGAGAGCAUCCCAGGAGGGCGAUACUCAGACGCUGGUUUUCAUUUCCUAAAAGGAUGGGGGUGUGGCAAGGAGGCUGGUGGGUGAUCUGGGAUCUGAGCCAGCGUCCGCGGCUGGCAAGCGUGCGGGGUGACGGCGCCCUUGCGCUGUGGGCCCCCAGGGGCCGCCGCUUGCGUCUCUGAUGAUGGGCAGCCGUCCGGGCAGGCGGGGGGGCACUGGGUGGGGAGGCGGGUCCUUCUGGCCCAUCUCAACAGCUGGUGGGGAAUGGGGCCGUCCCGGGAACCUGCCUCCGGCUCAGGUGGGACGGAGGGCCGGGCAUGAGGCCUCGGCCGCGGCUCGGGAGACGGGGCUACGUGAGGACCCAGGGGCUGGGCGGGAGGGCGGCGGGUUGGUGGGUGAGCAGGGCCAGGCCGUCCCCCGCGGCCCACAGUUGUGACGGAGGACAGACCUAGGGCUUCUCCCAGGAGGGCGUCCUGUUCCCAGAGCCCCCGCUAAAGCCUGGCGAGGGCCGCGGUACCCUCUGCCAGGCUGUUCAUGGCUUCGCUUUUCCUUUCAUUACAAAAUUAAUGUCUUCCUUUUAGAAGCUUGAGAGAGUGCUCACCGGCCGGAGGAGAGCAAUAAAACUCACUGGUGUUGCCGCUGCCCAGGUGAGUGCCGAGCCGGCGUCUACGGUGGCAUGUCAGAUACGCGUGGGGCUGUGGCAUGGAUGGCAUCUGACCCCUCCGUCUUCACAUCACAGUGAGUGUCCCCAGGAGCCUCGCUGCUUCCUGGCUGCCCCACGCGCUGCCUGCCGGGUGUGGACACUCGAGUCCAUCGACCCCCGGCCCUUGGACGGAUGCUCGGUCAUUUCCAGGCUUUCACUCUGAGUAACGCGGCAAUGAACACCUGCAGUCGUGGCCUCUGCCUCUUAUCCACCUGACCCUAACUGGGGACCCCCUCCUCAGCACAUGGUCUGGAUGGAGCCCACCGCUCUUGUGGCUCCAGACGUGGGUGCGUGAGGCAGGCCUGACCCAUCAUCCCGGUCAGAGGCGGGGCAGGAAUGGUUGUGUGGCCCGAGCGGAGCCAUCAGAGCCUUCCAGGGAAAGGGGCCCUCUCUGCUCCUGAGCUUACUGGGGUCCCCUCUGGGCCCCUCCGGAGGGAGAGCCACUGCAGGAACAGAGAGCCUCGGUGCGAGAGGGGCACUGGCCUGGCCACCCCUCUGGACUCCUGGCUGAGCUGGGCCCACAUCCUGGAUGCCUUGCGUGCGUCCACUGCUCCGGCCAGUAGUGCUCUUUGCUCGUCUGAGUGGGACACACCUGAGAGCAGACCUGGGUUGGCAGCUGGAGCAUCUGGACGGAAGCAAAAAUGGUCCCUGGCCCAGCUGCGGCUUGUGGCAGCACAAGAGGGGAGCCUGGACAGGUGCAGGGGUGGCGAGGGAGCAGGGCUGCAGUGGCAGAGUUUGCGUCUGUGCCCUCGCAGGGUCUGGACUUGGCCCAGGGCUGACUGCCCCCAGGUGUGGGUGGCCCAGCUCAGCCCACGUGUUUGCAGAAACGGAAGAAAAUACCGCCGUGCAGAAGAAGCCCCUUCCGGUGGCAGGGGUCCUGGCGGAAGAGGGGGGCUGUGUGCCCCUCAAGGUGGAAAAGCUGCUCUUCCCCAAACUGAGGCUGGGGUUGGGGGGGGUGCAAAACUGGAGCCCUCGGCCUCGCUGCUGCCACCCCAGCCUCCUGUGUCCGGCUUUGCUGUCGCACCUGGCCUCUGGUGGCAGCCUGGGGACUGAGACGUGGGGUCCCUCCGCCCAGCCUGUGCCCCCUCGUCUCUGUGCCUCUGGCCUGGGCAGGGCUUCGGGGCUGCUGCUGAGAGCCGGACACCCCGGGCCAGGGUCUGGGUCAGAGGUCGAGCCCCCGCUUCUCCCCCAUUGCAGCCCCACAGUCGAGUGACAGUGACCAACCCACAGAGACCCUCGGUUCCUCCAACAAGUCACGGUCCCCCAGCCCUGGCGGCCUGGGGCCUCCCCGUCCUCCAUGGGAUGCGCCCGGCUAAAUGCCAUCCUUCUGCGCACUCCGCCUGGGGCCCUGAGGCAGUGAGCCAGAAAUGCUGGGGUGCCCAGUGGACUGGACAUGCCCACAUGCCCCCUCAACCGUCCCGCUGGGCUGUCCCGGCUGGAGCCCAGGGCCUUGUCCCCAACGCUUCCUGGACGAGGCCUGGUCUGUGGUUUCUGUGGCCCAGAGGACUUCACACGGGCCUGAGCUGCUCCAUCCUGACCACCUGCAGGUCACAGGUCACCAGGGGCCGCGGUGACCUGGCCGCCUCCACGUGGUGGGGGUUUUUGGCCUUCCUGGGAGUGGUGUAGUGCCGCCGGACCACCUUCUGCCAUCAAUGCACCUGCGACCCGGCUGGGACCUCGCAGGACGUGCCCCCAUGGCCCACGCGAGAGCCAGGAGAAAGCCCUGAAUGAGGAACAGGGAUCCAGCUGGGAGGGGGCAGAGGGGCCCUAGGCGGAGGCAGAGGGAGAGUGGCCGGAAGGAACGUGAUGGCUGUGAAGCUCCAGCCCCGAGCCUCCAGCUUGGGAGGUGAGGGAGGAGGGGAUGGGGAGGGGAGGGGGGACGAAGGGGGAGGUGUACGGGGCGGGGGGAGGGGAGAGGGGAGGGGAGGUGUGGGAAGAGGCCACAGGGGAAGGGGCCUCGGGGGAGGGGACAGAGACAGCAGUGAAACAGCUAACGGGCUGCUCCUCGCAGGGUCAGUGGAGACGGAAGAGAAGGAAACCAGCCAGGGCGCUGGGCCGAGGGCGCUUCCCACGGCCCCGAGUCAGGCUGAGCGCAUGUGGGCAGGGGGACAGGCAGGGACGGAGAGCCACGGGGCCGCGUCGAUGACCCAGAAGAGCCGUGGCUGCUCAGACCUCACACCUGGCGCAGGUGAAGCGCGGACAAGACAAGGAAAAGCCAAGACGGCCCCCCGUGCUCGGCCCCGACCCGCCCAGCGCCCGGGUCCAGAGCGACGUCUGGGUCCUGUCCUCCCACCACAGCUCAGCCCGAUGCUCAGCAAAGCCUUUGUCGCCAGAUACGCGUCAGAGACAGGCCGCCAGGGAGCAGGGGGACCUGAAGCCCCUCCGGGCCCACGUCCUCCCUGGAAGCCGGGUCUGGGCAUGGAGGGUUCAAGCCCCCCAGCCAUCCCCUCCUGUCCCCCAGCGCCGGUGCCAAAGUCAGCAUCGAGCGGAAGGAGCGCGGCCUUAUCUGUGGCUCUGUUUUCCUUGCGGCUCGCGCGCCCCGCUGGCUGCACACUCUCCCCCCGGCCGCCCUCCAACAUUCCCAGACAUUCUUCAGGCCCCUGGGCUCCUGGCAUCCUGGCGGCGGUGCUGGGAAGCGGCCGGGCUCCGGCUCCCACACGCCCCGCUCUGUCGCUGCCGGGGCUCCCGAGGCGCCCUUGGUCACGGCUCUGUUUUUGUGGGCAGCACACCCAGCCUCCCACGCUGUCCCCAGGCCGCCCCUCCAGUUGCUGGGGUUGACCCGCGAGGCCCUUGCGUGGGCCACCGUGCCGUGGGCAGACGGGGGACGGGCUCUGAGCAGGCAGCCGCUGGCCAGGGUGGCCCAGGAGGCGGGGUGGGCACCAGUGCUUGGGCGGUGGGGGUGGCUAACCCUCCCUCCCUGUGCCCGCAUCCCACAGAUGGAGACAGGCUUCCAGGUGGUGGCGUGGCGGCUGCACAGGCCCCCGGGGGAGGGCCUUUGGAAAGGGUCUGAGGUCUCAGGACGAUGUGGGAACAAACAGCCACAGACGUGCUCCGGACGGGAAGACGCGGCCAGCCAGGGCGUGUUCUGCUCCAACAGGGAGAAGUUCAGCCACUCGUGUGGGCCCGUCUGGGUCCCUCUCCACGGGACGAGCCAGGGCAUCCGCGUCAGACACGCCACGUCACCACCGCCUCCCCACGGACCCUGGUGUCUGACCUCACAUCGGCACAGCAAGGGACCAUCUGGGCCAGCCUGGGCCUGGACCCUCAGCCCGUGACAUCUGUGUGGGGCUGAUGGGGACAGAGAGCCUUGCCAAUCUA